Long non-coding RNA from Oryzias melastigma (Indian medaka), 2424 nucleotides. RefSeq lists it as uncharacterized. The transcript has 2 exons. NCBI's taxonomy places the organism in Eukaryota, Metazoa, Chordata, Actinopteri, Beloniformes, Adrianichthyidae. The record is from RefSeq and is a predicted model, not a curated record.
UUCCGUUUGCACUUUUAUUGUUAAUCGUUAACCUUCAAAGGAAACCCUUCCCGACCCUGAUAUACAGCUUUCCUCACCGACUCGCAUUAAAUACGCCUCUUUUUCACACAAAUACAAAGUCCAGAAACACAGUUGUUAUGUUCCGUUGGUUCAUACGGGGAGAAAAAAAUGAGUUACAUGGUCUUUUGUUGGCAAUUGCAGUGAUAAUACAAAGUUUGGAAUGGGAAAAGUACAACGCACUCAAACAGAGAAUCAAGUAAGUCACGUGUGUCCAGAUUUUGAAAUCAGUUAGAUGAAAUGCAAAGCGGAAACUUUAACUCAGAGCACAGGAUAGGCGCUUAAAGAGUUCAAGUACAGCAAAUGAACUCACAAAAAUGAUCAUUUUCUGCACAUUCAGCUUUAUGGUUAUGCAGUUUUUACUUACUGUACGUCUUUACUCUGGGCAAACAUAUAGUAUAUUAUUCACAUAGUAUUCACAUGACAGUAUACAUCCAUAUAUACAUGUUUUUCCCUCUCUCGAGUGUCCAGGCACUUCCUUCAGCAAUCCAGAGGACAUCAGAUCACUGCACUGUUGCUACCCCAAACGUCUUUCGGGAGCCUGCUGAUGUUGCUGCGUCGUCUGAUCCCUCGCACAUUCUGGCACUCCCACCCAAAUCUGACUGUGAGCUGCCAACCCGCAGCAGAAAUUGCCUGUAGCUGCCAUUUUUCAGCUUCAAGAAGCUGCCUCUCCUUGUUUAUCAGGGCACGUACUCCAGAGUUCCCAUCAGCUCUGUGCGCGCACAAAACCUGCACUUAAAGGAGCUUCAGGAGAUACGGAGGAGGGGAGCGUGUUUUAAAGGGAAGAAAUGUGGGGAGGGUGAGGGUAUAAUUUUGCGAUCUUUCGAAAAAAAAAAAUAAAAAAGUUUUAUUUUUUUGAGUGAAGUUUCCUCUUUAGAGGUGAUUCCAAAUCUGAUUCCGAUGCAGAGCUCCUGUGAUGUUCAGGCACCGAGCAGUUGAAAAAGAAAUGAACAGAAAAGUUUCUCCCACGUUUGCUUCUCUCAUAUUUAUAAUAAAUAGUUUUCAAAAACUAAAUUAUGGGAUUUUUCUUAGGUUAAUGCCCCUUAAAAUGACAUAUUUAUUGACUUACAGAACACCUUAACUGUCCAAACAAGGCCCCCAUCUCCAACAAUCAAAUCUACAAGGCUCAGCUUUGAUGCUUUACGGCGUACCCCAGGGCCUGGGACCAUAAAGAAGCCGGACAGUUUGAAAACCUGCCUCCACAUAUCAGCACAGCAAGAGAAGUUGUGUUUUUUUCACAUCCUGCUGCUCACUUUUUCUUCCCCACAGGGUUACUGAAUUCACUCUGGAGCGAGAUCAGCAGCUGGCGCCGUCCACGCUGUACGUUCGUAGUCCCACGUCGAGAUGAAGCGGCGGAUCAAAGCAAAAAAGGAUUCAAGUCUGUGGGAUUGGCACUGUGACAGUGAUGAGACAGGCAGUCCCGCUGGUGGCCCGCUGCCGCAGCGCACCUGUUGCAGAUGUGUUCGUUCAAAGACGGGUCCAAAGGUCCAAGCAUUUAAGAAGAAGGGAGGUCAGGAGUGGCCUCAAAUCAGAUCUCCAGCGCUCAGGAUCCAGCUGCUGUCGAAAACGUUUAGCUGCUAUCUGCCUUCAAAGCAGUCCAAGUACUCCAGGAUGAGGUCAUAGCAAAAUCGAUACUGCUCCUGUAGACACAAGGGAAACGUCAAAACCUGGACAUUUGUGCCUCAAAAACAUUUCAUUUGUUUAGAGGCUCUUUCUUACCAGAGACUCCACCAUGUUGGGUUUGCAGUUCCGCAGAGUUUUGACAGCAUAGAAGAUGUCCACCAUGUUCUGGUACUGGAUCAUCUCCAGGAGGAUGUUACAGGCACAGAAGGUCCCACUCCGACCACCACCAUUGCUGCAGACAAACAGGAGGUUUUAUUUUAAUAGGACAAGAAGUGUGGAAGCGAUCGGCUGUCAACCCUAGUUUCUGAACAGAUAUAUGAAGUGGAGUCAGGUGAUGAAGUCUUUAAAGUCCGUCUUAUACUGUCUCAAGCCCAUCCCCCCGGACUUCCAGAGGAGCGGUUUGUCCCGCCACCCCCAUGCCAAGUACAGUAGUUCUUCUCACUUUCUUCGCUCCCAUGUUCUCUCCUUGCUCACUCAGUCCUUGUUUUGUAAGUUUUGUGUCAUGAAUUGUGUUUUUCUACUUCCAAAAUCCAACAUCGUCCACGGUAAAAAUGGACGACAUUGUUAUCUGCUGUGUAAACGCACAUUUUUAUUUUGAAAGUACAAGGGAAGUUUUUAUUUUAAAGCCUGAUCCUGUUUCUUCGUUUUUUUUGUUGCAAAAUUGGCACGCUGACGUACUGGAAAUAGAACUACUUGUUGUAGAGGGAUGGAUGUCAGAAGAAGAAAUAAAGGAGGUGAUGUCAA